UGGGGAAUAUUGCACAAUGGGCGCAAGCCUGAUGCAGCCAUGCCGCGUGAGUGAAGAAGGCCUUAGGGUUGUAAAACUCUUUCACCGGUGAAGAUAAUGACGGUAGCCGGAGAAGAAGCCCCGGCCAACACCGUGCCAGCAGCCGCGGUAAUACGGAGGGGGCUAGCGUUGUUCGGAAUUACUGGGCGUAAAGCGCGCGUAGGCGGGCUGGUCAGUUGGGGGUGAAAUCCCGGGGCUUAACCUCGGAACUGCCCUCAAUACUGCCGAUCUAGAGUCCGGGAGAGGUGAGUGGAAUUCCUAGUGUAGAGGUGAAAUUCGUAGAUAUUAGGAAGAACACCAGUGGCGAAGGCGGCUCACUGGCCCGGUACUGACGCUGAGGUGCGAAAGCGUGGGGAGCAAACAGGAUUAGAUACCCCCGUAGUC
RNAcentral lists this ribosomal RNA (423 nucleotides) under uncultured prokaryote. RNAcentral describes it as "bacterial SSU rRNA". It matches the Rfam family "Bacterial small subunit ribosomal RNA", at positions 355 to 795 of the family's 1533-position model. The record is from RNAcentral.